AAAUAGGAUUUUUUUAAAUCCACUUUACUUUCCUUAGCACUUCCUC
Molecule: non-coding RNA, 46 nt
Organism: Pteropus alecto (black flying fox)
Lineage: Eukaryota; Metazoa; Chordata; Mammalia; Chiroptera; Pteropodidae
Source: Rfam